This 425-nucleotide ribosomal RNA is filed under the name uncultured bacterium. RNAcentral's name for it is "partial 16S ribosomal RNA". It matches the Rfam family "Bacterial small subunit ribosomal RNA", at positions 354 to 796 of the family's 1533-position model. The record is from RNAcentral.
GUGGGGAAUCUUGCGCAAUGGGCGAAAGCCUGACGCAGCCAUGCCGCGUGAAUGAUGAAGGUCUUAGGAUUGUAAAAUUCUUUCACCGGGGACGAUAAUGACGGUACCCGGAGAAGAAGCUCCGGCUAACUUCGUGCCAGCAGCCGCGGUAAUACGAAGGGGGCUAGCGUUGCUCGGAAUUACUGGGCGUAAAGGGCGCGUAGGCGGACAGCUUAGUCAGAGGUGAAAGCCCAGGGCUCAACCUUGGAAUUGCCUUUGAUACUGGCUGUCUUGAGUUUGGGAGAGGUGAGUGGAACUCAGAGUGUAGAGGUGAAAUUCGUAGAUAUUCGGAAGAACACCAGUGGCGAAGGCGACUCACUGGCCCAAUACUGACGCCGAGGCGCGAAAGCGUGGGGAGCAAACAGGAUUAGAUACCCUGGUAGUCC